Long non-coding RNA from Pyrus x bretschneideri (Chinese white pear), 725 nucleotides. RefSeq lists it as uncharacterized. Lineage: Eukaryota; Viridiplantae; Streptophyta; Magnoliopsida; Rosales; Rosaceae. The record is from RefSeq and is a predicted model, not a curated record. The transcript is spliced from 3 exons.
UGCACUCCGAGAGACCCAGAAGCGGAAUUGGCGAUGGUUUAGUUUCUUGGGUGGAUUAAUUGAUUUCCAGUCAGCCUCUGCUAAGCUUUCCAGGGAGCUCAAUAAACGAAGGCUAACACUGCCGUGCUUGUCCACCGUGAGAAAAAUCGUUUGGUAUAUUACAACCAGAGAUCAAACAGAGGAAAAUGCUAACAGAACAAAUUAAGCAUAAAAAUAGGAUCACCUGUGAAAACCGGAAGCAGAACCAGAAGUAGAUUUCCAGCCAUAAUAAGCAUUUAGAUUUGGCGAUUGGCCACCUUUGAUAUCUGGCACUGAGUAAACUCCUCUGUCAUUCAAAUCCACAAAGUCAGACUGUAAAGCACCAGCAAUAAGAGUGUCAUCAAAUGCAGUCAUAUGGGGGUAGGCUUCGCUUGGAGGGCAUUUACUUGACUCACAUUUCGAGCACUGGCUGCAAAGUCGCUUACUCUUCAAUUCUUGGUCAUCAUUUGAUGCAUAUGCACUAGUCAUUACCAGGACAAGUAGGUACAGAGAAAGGCAAUGCCAAUUCCUAUCCAUGCUUGUAGCCAUAGCUUCUCUACCUUGCCGCUCUCUCUCUCUCUCUCUUUCUCUCUCUCUCUCUCUCUCUCUCUCUAUAUACAUAUAUAUAGAUAUAUUGUUGGUAAUCCUAACAAGACAAUUACAUUGUUAUAUAUAACAAAACAUUUUUCUUGUUCUUGAUGUUAUCA